RNAcentral lists this ribosomal RNA (460 nucleotides) under uncultured bacterium. RNAcentral's name for it is "partial 16S ribosomal RNA". It matches the Rfam family "Bacterial small subunit ribosomal RNA", at positions 338 to 795 of the family's 1533-position model. The record is from RNAcentral.
CCUACGGGGUGCAGCAGUGAGGAAUAUUGGUCAAUGGGCGGGAGCCUGAACCAGCCAAGUCGCGUGAGGGAAGACGGUCCUAUGGAUUGUAAACCUCUUUAGGCGGGGAGCAAUGCCGGGCACGUGUGCCCGGAGGGAGAGUACCCGCAGAAUAAGCAUCGGCUAACUCCGUGUCAGCAGCCGCGGUAAUACGGGGGAUGCGAGCGUUAUCCGGAUUUAUGGGGUUUAAAGGGUGCGUAGGCGGAUUUUUCAGUCAGCGGUAAAAUGUCCGGGCUCAACCCGGGCCGGCCGUUGAAACUGGGGAUCUUGAGUGGGCGAGAAGUAUGCGGAAGGCGUGGUGUAGCGGUGAAAUGCAUAGAUAUCACGCAGAACUCCGAUUGCGAAGGCAGCAUACCGGCGCCCGACUGACGCUGAGGCACGAAAGCGUGGGGAUCGAACAGGAUUAGAUACCCCAGUAGUC